CGUUGUCAGUUUAUUAUCGAACUAUGAGUUUGAUUGUCUCUCUGAUGUCUUUUGCCCCUCUCUUGUCUUGUAGUCUUGUUGUAUUAUUUCGCUUCGGGUGUUUGACGAAAAUGCUAAUCCAAACGAUCGUCAUGAUUGAAGAACUCUUUAACGUAUAUUGUUUCAAUCAAAAUGUCUUCACUUCGUAAAGUACAAAAAUAUGUUUUUUUACCAACCAUCUGUUUCAUUGAUUUUAAAAACAAGCACACGUAUCAAGAUAUGAAUGAGAUGUUCAAUAAAC
This 280-nucleotide long non-coding RNA is filed under the name Mytilus galloprovincialis (Mediterranean mussel). The record is from RNAcentral. Lineage: Eukaryota; Metazoa; Mollusca; Bivalvia; Mytilida; Mytilidae.